GAUCAUGACUCAGGAUAAACGCUGGCGGCGCACAUAAGACAUGCAAGUCGAACGGAAGUCGUUACGGAAUGGAAUGAAGAUUUAUCUGAUUGAAGUUUUGUAACAAUGGCUUUAGUGGCGGACUGGUGAGUAACACGUAAGCAAUCUACCUAUUAGAGGGGAAUAACAAUGAGAAAUCAUUGCUAAUACCGCAUAAGCUUGUAGUACCGCAUGGUACAGCAAGAAAAGGAGCAAUCCG
This 238-nucleotide ribosomal RNA is filed under the name uncultured bacterium. RNAcentral describes it as "partial 16S ribosomal RNA". It matches the Rfam family "Bacterial small subunit ribosomal RNA", at positions 15 to 217 of the family's 1533-position model. The record is from RNAcentral.